GAGAGUUUGAUCCUGGCUCAGAUUGAACGCUGGCGGCAGGCUUAACACAUGCAAGUCGAGCGGGGUGAUGGUGCUUGCACUAUCACCUAGCGGCGGACGGGUGAGUAAUGCUUAGGAAUCUGCCUAUUAGUGGGGGACAACAUUUCGAAAGGAAUGCUAAUACCGCAUACGUCCUACGGGAGAAAGCAGGGGAUCUUCGGACCUUGCGCUAAUAGAUGAGCCUAAGUCGGAUUAGCUAGUUGGUGGGGUAAAGGCCUACCAAGGCGACGAUCUGUAGCGGGUCUGAGAGGAUGAUCCGCCACACUGGGACUGAGACACGGCCCAGACUCCUACGGGAGGCAGCAGUGGGGAAUAUUGGACAAUGGGCGCAAGCCUGAUCCAGCCAUGCCGCGUGUGUGAAGAAGGCCUUAUGGUUGUAAAGCACUUUAAGCGAGGAGGAGGCUACUUUAGAUAAU
Molecule: ribosomal RNA, 455 nt
Filed under: furfural-degrading bacterium B1-8
Lineage: Bacteria
Description: bacterial SSU rRNA
Rfam family: Bacterial small subunit ribosomal RNA
Source: RNAcentral